RNAcentral lists this ribosomal RNA (780 nucleotides) under Bacillus cereus. RNAcentral describes it as "bacterial SSU rRNA". It matches the Rfam family "Bacterial small subunit ribosomal RNA", at positions 47 to 802 of the family's 1533-position model. The record is from RNAcentral. Lineage: Bacteria; Bacillati; Bacillota; Bacilli; Caryophanales; Bacillaceae.
CCUAAUACAUGCAAGGUCGAGCGAAUGGAUUAAGAGCUUGCUCUUAUGAAGUUAGCGGCGGACGUGUGUGAGUAACACGUGGGUAACCUGCCCAUAAGACUGGGAUAACUCCGGGAAACCGGGGCUAAUACCGGAUAACAUUUUGAACCGCAUGGUUCGAAAUUGAAAGGCGGCUUCGGCUGUCACUUAUGGAUGGACCCGCGUCGCAUUAGCUAGUUGGUGAGGUAACGGCUCACCAAGGCAACGAUGCGUAGCCGACCUGAGAGGGUGAUCGGCCACACUGGGACUGAGACACGGCCCAGACUCCUACGGGAGGCAGCAGUAGGGAAUCUUCCGCAAUGGACGAAAGUCUGACGGAGCAACGCCGCGUGAGUGAUGAAGGCUUUCGGGUCGUAAAACUCUGUUGUUAGGGAAGAACAAGUGCUAGUUGAAUAAGCUGGCACCUUGACGGUACCUAACCAGAAAGCCACGGCUAACUACGUGCCAGCAGCCGCGGUAAUACGUAGGUGGCAAGCGUUAUCCGGAAUUAUUGGGCGUAAAGCGCGCGCAGGUGGUUUCUUAAGUCUGAUGUGAAAGCCCACGGCUCAACCGUGGAGGGUCAUUGGAAACUGGGAGACUUGAGUGCAGAAGAGGAAAGUGGAAUUCCAUGUGUAGCGGUGAAAUGCGUAGAGAUAUGGAGGAACACCAGUGGCGAAGGCGACUUUCUGGUCUGUAACUGACACUGAGGGCGCGAAAGCGUGGGGAGCAAACAGGAUUAGAUACCCUCGGUAGUCCACGCCG